RNAcentral lists this long non-coding RNA (1087 nucleotides) under Anser brachyrhynchus (Pink-footed goose). RNAcentral's name for it is "lncRNA (ENSABRG00000009153.1)". Lineage: Eukaryota; Metazoa; Chordata; Aves; Anseriformes; Anatidae. The record is from RNAcentral.
CUGGGUUUCCUGCGCGCCUCAAGUCUCCUUUUUAUUUCACCUCGGGGAAAAUGGAGGCGGGGGUGUGAAAGAAAGAGAGGAAGAAAGAAAGAACAAGGGGGGUGGGGUGGGGGGGGACGACAGAAGGCAGGCCACAUCCCAGCAGCCCUCCUGCCCCCCGCGUCUCCAUCGCCAGCCCCAAGCCAGAACAGAUUUGAGUGGAGCUGCCCUGGCUCUAUCAUCUGCGGCGUGCAGAGUCAUCACGGCCGCGGUGCAUAGCUGAGAGCCGGAAAGCAAACAGCUGCUGUAGCCUGAUUUGAGUUAAAAUAGUGUCAGUGUUUAGUCUGGCGCACUGCUUCAGGAGAGAUUGGCAGCUGGGUCAAACAAAGUCAUUCCAUUGGCUCCCUUCCCAGCCAGCUUCUGCUAGUAUUUAGGUACUAGUGCAGCCUAGGCCCCUUUUCUCAGGGAUAGCCUAACAUCUGACCGCACCCUCCUUGCUGUUUAAAAAAUGCCUUUUCACUCUUUAAGAUAAAUCCACUAUUAGACAAUCUGCCACUAAUAGUGCAGUAAGGCUGUUUUUCUCCCGAAAGCCGACGCAUCCCGCUCCCGCCGCAGUGCAGAAAGCAGGCUGUUACAGUGCCGGAUUCAUAAAAGGGGCCUUUAUGGCUGGUGAAAGAAUAUCUGUGUGCUUAGGCCGGAAACUUUUUGAUCCAGUGCAAAGCCAGACGACACCUAGAUUUCUUUUACAAUACAUUCUCCUCAAGCCUGUGAAUUUUUCUUUUACUGACCAGAUCGGUCUGCAAUCAGUCUUGCAAUCAGGAAGUGAAAUCUUGGAUUAAAACCACCUAGUGAUUUCAAAUGUUAAUCUUAAGGGCUUCUCCUAGGCAUUUCAUAUUAAAAGAUGGGUAACAUGGGACAAAUGAUCAAGGAGUUAUAUUUGCAUCUUUCAUUUUUCACAUCUAGGCCCUCUUCUUCUGGAUCUUCCACAUGUCCACGUUAGUCAUUCUUCCGAGUUUCCUUACUCAUGCUUGAAAAUAUUUUUAUAUUUUGUUCAAAAUGUAAGACACAAUUAUUGACAAUAAAUAAAUCUGAUAAUAUAAUUGUAACA